Choloepus didactylus (southern two-toed sloth) is the source of this 3909-nucleotide long non-coding RNA. RefSeq lists it as uncharacterized. The record is from RefSeq and is a predicted model, not a curated record. Lineage: Eukaryota; Metazoa; Chordata; Mammalia; Pilosa; Megalonychidae. The transcript is spliced from 7 exons.
AAUCCGAGAGAGGCGGACAGCACCCCGGGGUGGACAAAGAUGGGAGAGGGAGCGGAGACAGAGAGGGAGAUAAAAUAAGGAAAUAAAGGUAAGUCCCACAGAAGGAAAUUCCAAGAGGUGGGCAGGAAUGGGAGGAAGGGAAUCAAGCCUCUGCUCCUUGUGUGUCCCCAUCCUUGUGCCUUUUGGGCCCACCCCACCUCCAUCCCCCAUCCCCAGACCCAGCACUUCCCCGGGGCGCCCUGAGAUCACUGGGUCCAGCUCUGUCUCCUCCCACCAGCUGGAUCACUCGCCCAUUCAGGGCAGGAACGGGGGUGCCAUCCGUCUUGGGGUCCCUGGCAUUACCCUAUGCAGGGACUGGGUCAUAAGUGGCACAGAUGGUGCGGACGCAGGGGCAGGAGGCCCACGGAGGGGGACACUCACUUGACAGAGGCAGCACUGGGCCAGCGCCGCCCCAGCUUGGCCAGCUGCUUCCUGGGGGAGUUGAUCCACAGGCCCACGGGGAGAUGGAGCUUCCCGAAGCGGGGGCUUCCGCCCUCUUUCCGUUCACCAGACAGCAUGGCCCUAAGGGAAGCCCCCGGAGGCCCUGGCUCCGUCGGUUCCUGAUCCCACUGCUCUUGUUCAGCCUUUGCCUCUGCCCCAGCUCCCAGCACUGGGUGGGGGACAGGAAAAGGCCAGAGGAAACCCGGCAGGAAGAGCGGGGAGGGGGCGUCCUGUGAGCGGACCAAGCCUGGAGGAGGAAAUCUGGGUAGGGCUGGCCCCGCCGCAUCAAGGGCUCUGGAAUCCUUUCGGUGCCAGUUGCUUCCCUGCAGGACCCAGGGGUCCCGGUCCCCAGCCCCACCCCACCCCCUCCCUUCCUUCAGGAACCCAUCCCAGACCUCUCCUCUUGGGUAACCAAAAGUUAGGAGCAUACCGGAGGAGUGAGUCAGAUACUUGGACAACAAUAUAAAUCUUUAUUGGUUCCUUGAGUCUGUGGCCUUUUCCUUUGGCACCUGGGGUUGCCGAACAGCCCCCUUGCCAAAGCUAACUGGGGAGAGCUUUUAGGAAGACCUCGCCUUGCGAUAUUGAAGGUAAAAUAUCCUGGGCCGGGGGAGGAAUGCAAACAACGGACCCGGGUUAGGUUCUGGGUUGAGGGCUGAGGGGCACCCCUCCUUGUGCCCAGCAUCUGACCAUUUUCUAGUGAUUCUCCCAAGCCCCGCCCUCCUUACCCGCCUCCCGAGUAGGCUCCACCCCCUUGGGCCUCAGGCCGCGGGAAGCCCCGCCCCUCCCUCCCCCGCCCGCCUGGGUCUGUGCGCCGCUCACCCGCCUGCAAUGCCCGCGAUGACCACCGCGAAGCUCCCGAUUGCCAUCCCCAGGAGACGGCCCUGCAGCACCUUCUCGGGCUUCGCGGGCACUGACCUGUGACCUGAUAGCUGAUGAUCGUGGCUGGGUUGGAAAUCACGGUGCCCAGCUCACAGCGGUACUUGCCUGCAUCCUCCGGCCCCACCAUGGUCUUGGUCAAGGGUCCACCUCGCUCACCCCCGCAGUCCUUGGACUUCCGACAAGGGUGAACCUGCUUGUCGCAGCCCUCGCACCAUAUCAGAGUCUGCAGCAUCAUACCUGAAGGGGCAGGGCCAAGGCUCGUACGCGCCCUCUAAGAGGCGGGGCUAAACGGGAAGGGCGGGGCCGAGGGGUGGGGCGGGGCCUUGGGCCAGCCCGGGGGCGGAGCUAGAACGCAGCCGGGUAGAAGGCAAGAUCCAACGCGGCUGCCUAAAGAGGGGAAACAGAGGAGCCUUCCCCACCCCCCCCCCGAAGAAGUCCCAGGUGCAGAAAGGAGACCCGGGAAAUUCUCAGACGCAGAGAAUGAAGACACCACUGCGACCCCAAAAGGGGAGAGGGAAGGGCUGGGUCUUCAUGGGACAAAGGGUGAGGAAAAGAGGGUUAGUUGCCACAAGCCCGACUCACCGCAUUUGUUGGGACAAAAAGCUGCCUCGGAAGGAAAAUACAAGAAAAAAGAGACAAUCAGAUUUCUAAGUCAAAGGGGAAUGGAAGCGGGGGCGGAGGAAAAAGCUGGGGCUUGGACUCGAGUUGAAGGGAAGAGGAGGUCGGAGGGGCUAGGGAUGGAGGUCCCAGGCUCUAGCUUUCCCUCACCCUCUUUUACGAAUUGAGCAGCGUGGCGGGCAAAGACCUCCUUUUGCAGGUGCAACAUCCAGAAUAUCUCCUUCACGAAGAGUUCAUCUGGGAAGAAGCGGGGUGGCGCAGAGUGGCCCCCUCCCACCCCAUCCAAGCUACUGGUCUCCAUUUUAGAGACGAGAAAGCUGUGAAGUCCCUUGCUCCGGGCCACGCAGCUAGAAAGUGGCAGGACUGGAAUUUGAACCAAGGCCGUCGGGCUCCAGACCAGGCUUCUCCAGCAAUCAUGUUCCUGAAUAAAUCUGGGGGGGUCCCCACUCCCCUCCUCCCUGCAUCUACCUUUAACCCCACUGUCAGUGAUGCGUUUCAGAUCCUUCAGGAAACUCCAGGCUACCUUUUGCAGGGUGGGCUCAUCUGUGGGGGCAGAUAUAACCCGACGACGUUCUAGCGUCACUUUCAUUGACUGGUCUAGUCUUAGAAACUACAAUACCCAUGGGGCCUCCAGGCACAGAUAGGCCUGGUUAAGGGAUUAUCCGCCCGUUGCCUUCUGGGAGCUGUAGUUUUAUUACAUAAAGUUGAAGGCUAAGGGAAGGGGGACACUGUAUUUGUUAGCCUUGGGGAAUCCCGGAAUCUGCAACCUCACCUUCCCCAUUUCCAGAAUCCAGGAGAGUCUGCCCCCAGCCCCCUCCUCCCUGUGGAUCAGCAGCCUUGGCCCCAGUCUUCUCCUUCCCCAGGACCCGGCAGGCUGAGCCCCCGCCCUUACCGACAGCCCCCAUGUAGGAAUCUUCGUCAAGUGGCAGUUCCUUGAAAUCCCUCAGGGCAUCCUCGACCCUCUUCAUCACAUUUUGGCGAGCAUCGGCCGACAGGUGACUAGGACUAAAAUUAAGGAUGCUGGUGGAGGCGAGGGUGAGGUUGGUUGCGCGAUGCCGAAGGCUUUUCUCUUGGGGUCUGAGUCACGGGUAGCCCCUCUCGACAAGGAGCUCCCGCAGCCUCCCGGUUGGAGCUUCCCACGUGGGGUCGCCAAAAUUCCCCAGUUUUUCCCUGGGGCUUUUCUUCGCCCCGCCCAGAAGCCCAACUCUGAACCCGAUUGGGCCGCAACAAAGGGAGGCCCGCCCAUCUCUUCAUGACGUCACAGAGACGGCCGCCCGUUCACAGUAAGACUUUCCCAGCCUCUAAAGAAGCGCCCUCUGCCUGCUCCUGCUCGCGGAGGCGAGGACCGGCUUCUGGGCUUCAGCUUCCUCCCCUCCCUUGGCCCCAGGACCCAGGCUUCCGGGCCCUUGGAAACCUGGCGUCGGACCACGAAGACGCGGAAGGGCGGCGGAGUCUAGCUCUAGGACCACGACUCCCAGAAGGCCCCGGGUUGCUUUUUUGAUAGCAAUUAUCGCAGCCAACCCCGUGGCCUUAAGGGAAAUGUAGUUCAACAAUGAUACUUUUCGUUCAUGUCCCCUCCGCAGCCUGUGAGGCUGGACGCCAAAGUCUCAGAUCUGCAGUCCAAUCCCGAGGGUCCUGGAGAAAGCAAACUGGGGGCUCAGACCUUUUGGUCCUGUAAGGUCUUUCUCCUUAACUUUUUGCAUCAUUAUUACAGGCCACCAGAAAAACAGGGAACCACAAGUGUUGCAGUGACCAGGGGCCGCCAGCCUCCAAGAAAGCUGCAGAGACUAGGAUUGAAGAUGUGGCUUUUAAUUCACACCUCCUUCUCUCUCACCUGUGGCAGCUGAGCUGGGAAUGGUCCCCCAAAACUCCUGGAGAAGCCUGGAGAAGGGGCUCGGAUUCUUAGAUGGGUGGCUGGGGGAUGGGAGCAGA